GAUGAACGCUGGCGGCGUGCCUAAUACAUGCAAGUAGAACGCUGAAGGAAGGAGCUUGCUCUUUCUGGAUGAGUUGCGAACGGGUGAGUAACGCGUAGGUAACCUGCCUGGUAGCGGGGGAUAACUAUUGGAAACGAUAGCUAAUACCGCAUAAAAUUGAUUAUUGCAUGAUAGUCAAUUAAAAGGUGCAACUGCACCACUACCAGAUGGACCUGCGUUGUAUUAGCUAGUUGGUGGGGUAACGGCUCACCAAGGCGACGAUACAUAGCCGACCUGAGAGGGUGAUCGGCCACACUGGGACUGAGACACGGCCCAGACUCCUACGGGAGGCAGCAGUAGGGAAUCUUCGGCAAUGGACGGAAGUCUGACCGAGCAACGCCGCGUGAGUGAAGAAGGUUUUCGGAUCGUAAAGCUCUGUUGUAAGAGAAGAACGAGUGUGAGAGUGGAAAGUUCACACUGUGACGGUAUCUUACCAGAAAGGGACGGCUAACUACGUG
Molecule: ribosomal RNA, 497 nt
Filed under: uncultured bacterium
Lineage: Bacteria
Description: partial 16S ribosomal RNA
Rfam family: Bacterial small subunit ribosomal RNA
Source: RNAcentral